RNAcentral lists this ribosomal RNA (492 nucleotides) under uncultured bacterium. RNAcentral's name for it is "partial 16S ribosomal RNA". It matches the Rfam family "Bacterial small subunit ribosomal RNA", at positions 29 to 507 of the family's 1533-position model. The record is from RNAcentral.
AGUGAACGCUGGCGGUAGGCCUAACACAUGCAAGUCGAACGGCAGCACAGUAAGAGCUUGCUCUUACGGGUGGCGAGUGGCGGACGGGUGAGGAAUACAUCGGAAUCUACUUUUUCGUGGGGGAUAACGUAGGGAAACUUACGCUAAUACCGCAUACGACCUACGGGUGAAAGCAGGGGAUCUUCGGACCUUGCGCGAGUGAAUGAGCCGAUGUCGGAUUAGCUAGUUGGCGGGGUAAAGGCCCACCAAGGCGACGAUCCGUAGCUGGUCUGAGAGGAUGAUCAGCCACACUGGAACUGAGACACGGUCCAGACUCCUACGGGAGGCAGCAGUGGGGAAUAUUGGACAAUGGGGGCAAGCCUGAUCCAGCCAUACCGCGUGGGUGAAGAAGGCGUUCGGGUUGUAAAGCCCUUUUGUUGGGAAAGAAAAGCAGCAGGUUAAUACCCCGCUGUUCUGACGGUACCCAAAGAAUAAGCACCGGCUAACUUCGUG